Molecule: ribosomal RNA, 465 nt
Filed under: Vreelandella stevensii
Lineage: Bacteria; Pseudomonadati; Pseudomonadota; Gammaproteobacteria; Oceanospirillales; Halomonadaceae
Description: partial 16S ribosomal RNA
Rfam family: Bacterial small subunit ribosomal RNA
Source: RNAcentral
CCUACGGGUGGCUGCAGUGGGGAAUAUUGGACAAUGGGCGAAAGCCUGAUCCAGCCAUGCCGCGUGUGUGAAGAAGGCCUUCGGGUUGUAAAGCACUUUCAGUGGGGAAGAAAGCCUUGGGGCUAAUACCCUCGAGGAAGGACAUCACCCACAGAAGAAGCACCGGCUAACUCCGUGCCAGCAGCCGCGGUAAUACGGAGGGUGCGAGCGUUAAUCGGAAUUACUGGGCGUAAAGCGCGCGUAGGCGGUCUGAUAAGCCGGUUGUGAAAGCCCCGGGCUCAACCUGGGAACGGCAUCCGGAACUGUCAGGCUAGAGUGCAGGAGAGGAGGGUAGAAUUCCCGGUGUAGCGGUGAAAUGCGUAGAGAUCGGGAGGAAUACCAGUGGCGAAGGCGGCCUUCUGGACUGACACUGACGCUGAGGUGCGAAAGCGUGGGUAGCAAACAGGAUUAGAUACCCGUGUAGUC